UACGGGGGGGGCAAGCGUUGUUCGGAAUUACUGGGCGUAAAGGGCUCGUAGGUGGCCAACUAAGUCACACGUGAAAUCCCUCGGCUUAACCGGGGAACUGCGUCUGAUACUGGAUGGCUCGAGUUUGGGAGAGGGAUGCGGAAUUCCAGGUGUAGCGGUGAAAUGCGUAGAUAUCUGGAGGAACACCGGUGGCGAAGGCGGCAUCCUGGACCAACACUGACGCUGAUGAGCGAAAGCCAGGGGAGCAAACGGG
This 253-nucleotide ribosomal RNA is filed under the name uncultured bacterium. RNAcentral describes it as "partial 16S ribosomal RNA". It matches the Rfam family "Bacterial small subunit ribosomal RNA", at positions 524 to 776 of the family's 1533-position model. The record is from RNAcentral.